RNAcentral lists this microRNA (22 nucleotides) under Strongylocentrotus purpuratus (purple sea urchin). RNAcentral describes it as "Spu-Mir-96-P2_3p* (star (passenger))". Lineage: Eukaryota; Metazoa; Echinodermata; Echinoidea; Camarodonta; Strongylocentrotidae. The record is from RNAcentral.
GUGGUUCUCUCAUUGCCAAGCC